CUUGGUCAUUUAGAGGAAGUAAAAGUCGUAACAAGGUUUCCGUAGGUGAACCUGCGGAAGGAUCAUUAGUGAAUAUAGGACGUUCAACUUAACUUGGAGUCCGAACUCUCACUUUCUAACCCUGUGCACUUGUUUGGGAUAGUAACUCUCGCAAGAGAGCGAACUCCUAUUCACUCAUAAACACAAAGUCUAUGAAUGUAUUAAAUUUUAUAACAAAAUAAAACUUUCAACAACGGAUCUCUUGGCUCUCGCAUCGAUGAAGAACGCAGCGAAAUGCGAUAAGUAAUGUGAAUUGCAGAAUUCAGUGAAUCAUCGAAUCUUUGAACGCACCUUGCGCUCCAUGGUAUUCCGUGGAGCAUGCCUGUUUGAGUGUCAUGAAUACUUCAACCCUCCUCUUUCUUAAUGAUUGAAGAGGUGUUUGGUUUCUGAGCGCUGCUGGCCUUUACGGUCUAGCUCGUUCGUAAUGCAUUAGCAUCCGCAAUCGAACUUCGGAUUGACUUGGCGUAAUAGACUAUUCGCUGAGGAAUUCUAGUCUUCGGACUAGAGCCGGGUUGGGUUAAAGGAAGCUUCUAAUCAGAAUGUCUACAUUUUAAGAUUAGAUCUCAAAUCAGGUAGGACUACCCGCUGAACUUAAGCAUAUCAAUAAGCGGAGGAAAAGAAACUAACAAGGAUUCCCCUAGUAGCGGCGAGCGAAGCGGGAAGAGCUCAAAUUUAUAAUCUGGCACCUUCGGUGUCCGAGUUGUAAUCUCUAGAAAUGUUUUCCGCGUUGGACCGCACACAAGUCUGUUGGAAUACAGCGGCAUAGUGGUGAGACCCCCGUAUAUGGUGCGGACGCCCAGCGCUUUGUGAUACAUUUUCGAAGAGUCGAGUUGUUUGGGAAU
This 881-nucleotide small RNA is filed under the name uncultured Rhodotorula. RNAcentral describes it as "eukaryotic LSU rRNA". The stretch from base 598 to 881 matches the Rfam family "Eukaryotic large subunit ribosomal RNA", at positions 1 to 281 of the family's 3401-position model. The record is from RNAcentral. Lineage: Eukaryota; Fungi; Basidiomycota.